Long non-coding RNA from Lates calcarifer (barramundi perch), 1469 nucleotides. RefSeq lists it as uncharacterized. Lineage: Eukaryota; Metazoa; Chordata; Actinopteri; Centropomidae. The transcript is spliced from 3 exons. The record is from RefSeq and is a predicted model, not a curated record.
AGCAGAUCGGCAGAUACACGAACUCGGAUAAUACAGGGAAAAUACGGAGUAAAACAAACGUUUGAGUCGUCGAUUCGUUGCUUCGGUUCGCUGGCACUGUGACAAACUGCAUUACUGAAGAACUCUGGAUGCUAAAACAAGCUUUGGAGCUGUUUUUGUCGAACACGAGUGAGGCUGGACGCUGAAACAUCUGCGGCGAAGGUGUCACCACUUCGUCCACAACACCGUCCACGAUGGCAGAACCAUGGUCCAUGAUCGGAGAGACAUUGUUGAGGAUGAGGGAGACAUCGUCCACGAUCAGAGACAUUGUCCAUGACUCGUGGUGACUCGGUCCCCGAUAAGUCGGCGCUGCCGGCGUUCAGAGAGACAUUGUCGAUGAUCGCAGAGACUUUGUCCAUAAUCUCAGAGACAUUGUCCGCGAUCGCAGAGACGUCUUCCAUGAUCGCAGAGACAUGGUCCAUGAUUGGAGAGACAUUGUUGAGGAUGAGGGAGACAUCGUCCACGAUCAGAGACAUUGUCCACGAUCGCAGAGACCUUGUCAAAGAUGAGAGAGACGUUGUCCAUGAUCAGAGACAUUGUCCCAUGCUUCGCAGAGCUCUGCGCAAGAAUCGGUAGUGACACUGUGGUUCCUCGAUUCGACGGCAUGACCGCGAUCAGGAGACAUUGUUAAUGAUCACAGAGAAACAGUCUAUCAUCUUAGAGACAUUGUCCACGAUCACAAAGACAUUGUCCAUGAUCACAGAGACUUUGUCCAUAAUCUCAGAGACAUUGUCCGCGAUCACAGAGACGUAGUCCACGAUCACAGAGAGCCAUCGUACAACGAAGAAGGUCUUUGAGUCCAGGACAGAGUCCUCCAGGUGUCACCACUUCGUCCACAACACCGUCCACGAUGGCAGAACCAUGGUCCAUGAUCGGAGAGACAUUGUUGAGGAUGAGGGAGACAUCGUCCACGAUCAGAGACUUUGUCCAUGACUCGUGGUGACUCGGUCCCCGAUAAGUCGGCACUGCCGGCGUUCAGAGAGACAUUGUCGAUGAUCGCAGAGACUUUGUCCAUAAUCUCAGAGACAUUGUCCGCGAUCGCAGAGACGUCUUCCAUGAUCGCAGAGACAUGGUCCAUGAUUGGAGAGACAUUGUUGAGGAUGAGGGAGACAUCGUCCACGAUCAGAGACAUUGUCCACGAUCGCAGAGACCUUGUCAAAGAUGAGAGAGACGUUGUCCAUGAUCAGAGACAUUGUCCCAUGCUUCGCAGAGCUCUGCGCAAGAAUCGGUAGUGACACUGUGGUUCCUCGAUUCGACGGCAUGACCGCGAUCAGGAGACAUUGUUAAUGAUCACAGAGAAACAGUCUAUCAUCUUAGAGACAUUGUCCACGAUCACAAAGACAUUGUCCAUGAUCACAGAGACUUUGUCCAUAAUCUCAGAGACAUUGUCCGCGAUCACAGAGACGUAGUCCACGAUCACAGAGAGCCAU